GCGAACGGGUGAGUAACGCGUAGGUAACCUACCUCAUAGCGGGGGAUAACUAUUGGAAACGAUAGCUAAUACCGCAUAACAGUCAUUAACACAUGUUAGAGACUUAAAAGGGGCAAGAGCUUCACUAUGAGAUGGACCUGCGUUGUAUUAGCUAGUAGGUAGGGUAAAGGCCUACCUAGGCGACGAUACAUAGCCGACCUGAGAGGGUGAUCGGCCACACUGGGACUGAGACACGGCCCAGACUCCUACGGGAGGCAGCAGUAGGGAAUCUUCGGCAAUGGGGGGAACCCUGACCGAGCAACGCCGCGUGAGUGAAGAAGGUUUUCGGAUCGUAAAGCUCUGUUGUUAGAGAAGAACGUGUGUGAGAGUGGAAAGUUCACACAGUGACGGUAACUAACCAGAAAGGGACGGCUAACUACGUGCCAGCAGCCGCGGUAAUACGUAGGUCCCGAGCGUUGUCCGGAUUUAUUGGGCGUAAAGCGAGCGCAGGCGGUUCUGUAAGUCUGAAGUUAAAGGCAGUGGCUUAACCA
Molecule: ribosomal RNA, 530 nt
Filed under: Streptococcus orisratti
Lineage: Bacteria; Bacillati; Bacillota; Bacilli; Lactobacillales; Streptococcaceae
Description: bacterial SSU rRNA
Rfam family: Bacterial small subunit ribosomal RNA
Source: RNAcentral